RNAcentral lists this ribosomal RNA (497 nucleotides) under uncultured bacterium. RNAcentral describes it as "partial 16S ribosomal RNA". It matches the Rfam family "Bacterial small subunit ribosomal RNA", at positions 28 to 507 of the family's 1533-position model. The record is from RNAcentral.
GAUGAACGCUGGCGGCGUGCCUAAUACAUGCAAGUCGAGCGAACAGACGAGGAGCUUGCUCCUUUGACGUUAGCGGCGGACGGGUGAGUAACACGUAGGUAACCUACCUAUAAGACUGGGAUAACUUCGGGAAACCGGAGCUAAUACCGGAUAAUAUUUCGAACCGCAUGGUUCGAUAGUGAAAUAUGGCUUUGCUAUCACUUAUAGAUGGACCUGCGCCGUAUUAGCUAGUUGGGAAGUUAACGGCUUACCAAGGCAACGAUACGUAGCCGACCUGAAAGAGUGAUAGGCCACACUGGAACUGAGACACGGUCCAGACUCCUGAGGGAGGCAGCAGUAGGGAAUCUUCCGCAAUGGGCGAAAGCCUGACGGAGCAACGCCGAGUGGGAGAUAAAGAUCUUCGGUUCGUGAAACUCUGUUAUUAGGGAAGAACAAACGUGUAAGUAACUGUACACGUAUUGACGGUACCUAAUCAGAAAGCAACGGCUAACUACGUG